Methylophaga nitratireducenticrescens is the source of this 352-nucleotide non-coding RNA. NCBI's taxonomy places the organism in Bacteria, Pseudomonadati, Pseudomonadota, Gammaproteobacteria, Thiotrichales, Piscirickettsiaceae. The record is from Rfam.
UGAGAUGGCCAGACAAUCGCGCUUGCAAAAGUGAGGAAAGUCCGGGCUCCACAGGGUAAGGUGCCAGGUAACGCCUGGGGGACGUAAGUCCACGGCCAGUGCAACAGAGAGUAAACCGCCUGAAUGUAGUUCAGGUAAGGGUGAAAGGGUGCGGUAAGAGCGCACCGCGCUUCUGGUAACAGAAGUGGCAUGGUAAACCCCACCAGGAGCAAGACCAAAUAGAGGAACAAAUGCUUCGGCAUGACAUGCGGCCCGCAUGGUUCCCGGGUAGGUUGCUUGAGGCAGAUGGUAACAUCUGUCCCAGAUGAAUGAUUGUCCACGACAGAACCCGGCUUAUCGGCCAUCUCAAACU